AAAUAUAUGAUUUAAUUAUUUCAUUCUUCCUAGUUAUCUUUCUCUAGUCGAAGUGUAAUUCAAAAUUUCAAACGGAAUAAUUUUGAUUGAAUUAUCUCAAUUAUUUCGAUAUUUACUUUUUUCGUUUCUACCCUUGUAGUUUUUUGUGAAUACAGACAAUUUUUGGUCUUAUCUUACAUUUAUUUUAAACCUUCCUUUUUCUUUGAUUUCAUUUUAUAUUCAAUUCACAAUUACAAGAGAUGGAAGUGGUCUUUUUUUUUUGAAUCCCUACCUAAAUUUAGAGUAGUAGCAGGACAAAUUUAGAUAGAUAGUCAUCUAUAACUAAUGAAUAUCUACUAUGACAUAUACAUGUGUUUGUUCCAUACCGUAAACCAAUUCGUUGUAUCUUCGAUUCAAUCGUAUUCGAGAAUCAUUCUUGGAAAAAAUCCCCCAGCUGUCUUAUAACGAUUAGAUUAUAUAUACGCCUAGUUCGACCCCCUCACCCUUUUUUGAAUUGAAUCUCUAUUUUUUGUUUAAUUCCCUGGUAAUUGUUUUAAUUUUAUUUAUACUUUUUGAUUGUUAUGAAAACUUUUCCAAAUUUCUUUGGAUUUUUAUCUUUCUGUUCCUUAAGUAGAUUAUCGCGAGCCAUACAUACUUUGUCGCGGUCUAAAAUCCUAUUUUCAUAACUAGUCAAUGAUGCCCUUCCAUGGAUUCACCUAUAUACGCCGCAGCUAAAGUAGCGAAAAUAAGAGCUUGAAUACCGCUUGUAAAUAAUCCAAGGAACAUAACAGGGAUAGGAACUACUAAAGGUACUAACGAAACAAGAACAACAACUACUAAUUCAUCCGCUAAUAUAUUUCCGAAAAGUCGAAAACUAAGUGAUAAGGGUUUUGUGAAAUCUUCUAAGAUGUUAAUCGGUAAAAGGAUUGGCGUUGGUUGGAUGUAUUUACCAAAAUAGGCCAAUCCUUUUUUUGAAAUACCCGCAUAGAAAUAGGCUACUGACGUAAGUAAAGCUAAUGCAACAGUAGUAUUUAUAUCAUUUGUGGGUGCAGCUAACUCUCCAUGAGGUAACUUUAUAAUUUUCCAAGGCAAAAGGGCCCCUGACCAAUUCGAAACAAAAAUAAAUAGAAACAGAGUUCCAAUAAACGGAACCCAUGGACCAUAUUCUUCUCCAAUCUGAGUUUUGCUCACGUCUCGAAUGAAUUCAAGGACAUAUUCAAAGAAAUUCUGACCAGACGUGGGAAUAGUUUGCGGAUUUCUAACAACUAGAAUGGUUGAAAUUAAUAAGAUAGCAAUUACAACCCAAGAGGUAAUAAGUACUUGAGCAUGCACUUGAAAAUCCCCUAUUUGCCAAUAGAAAUGUUGACCUACUUCCACAGCCGAUAUAUCAUAGAAUCUGUUUAAUGUGUUGAUGUAACAUAAUAGAACAUUCAUAUUGCCCUGUCCUCUAAAAUAAAAAAAUAUAACUUGAAAGGGAAUUAUUUUGAUUNUUGGAUUUUUAUCUUUCUGUUCCUUAAGUAGAUUAUCGCGAGCCAUACAUACUUUGUCGCGGUCUAAAAUCCUAUUUUCAUAACUAGUCAAUGAUGCCCUUCCAUGGAUUCACCUAUAUAUGCCGCAACUAAAGUAGCGAAAAUAAGAGUUUGAAUACCGCUUGUAAAUAAUCCAAGGAACAUAACAGGGAUAGGAACUACUAAAGGUACUAACGAAACAAGAACAACAAU
Molecule: long non-coding RNA, 1700 nt
Filed under: Lathyrus oleraceus (garden pea)
Lineage: Eukaryota; Viridiplantae; Streptophyta; Magnoliopsida; Fabales; Fabaceae
Description: Pisum sativum (pea) long non-coding RNA (PSAT_LNC038692)
Source: RNAcentral